Molecule: transfer RNA, 87 nt
Filed under: Clostridium cavendishii DSM 21758
Lineage: Bacteria; Bacillati; Bacillota; Clostridia; Eubacteriales; Clostridiaceae
Description: tRNA_Leu_CAA
Rfam family: tRNA
About the family: Transfer RNA (tRNA) molecules are approximately 80 nucleotides in length. Their secondary structure includes four short double-helical elements and three loops (D, anti-codon, and T loops).
Source: RNAcentral
GCCGAUGUGGUGGAAUUGGCAGACGCAACGGACUCAAAAUCCGUCGGUAGCAAUACCGUGCGGGUUCGAUUCCCGCCAUCGGCACCA